RNAcentral lists this transfer RNA (68 nucleotides) under Marmota monax (woodchuck). It matches the Rfam family "tRNA". From Rfam's summary of the family: Transfer RNA (tRNA) molecules are approximately 80 nucleotides in length. Their secondary structure includes four short double-helical elements and three loops (D, anti-codon, and T loops). Further hydrogen bonds mediate the characteristic L-shaped molecular structure. tRNAs have two regions of fundamental functional importance: the anti-codon, which is responsible for specific mRNA codon recognition, and the 3' end, to which the tRNAs corresponding amino acid is attached (by aminoacyl-tRNA synthetases). tRNAs cope with the degeneracy of the genetic code in two manners: having more than one tRNA (with a specific anti-codon) for a particular amino acid; and 'wobble' base-pairing, i.e. permitting non-standard base-pairing at the 3rd anti-codon position. The record is from Rfam by way of RNAcentral. Lineage: Eukaryota; Metazoa; Chordata; Mammalia; Rodentia; Sciuridae.
GUGGUGGCUCAGUUGUAGAGUGCUUGCCUAGCACGUGUGAGGCACUGGGUUCAAUUCUCAGCACCACA